RNAcentral lists this ribosomal RNA (492 nucleotides) under uncultured bacterium. Its description in RNAcentral is "partial 16S ribosomal RNA". It matches the Rfam family "Bacterial small subunit ribosomal RNA", at positions 30 to 507 of the family's 1533-position model. The record is from RNAcentral.
AGUGAACGCUGGCGGUAGGCCUAACACAUGCGAGGCGAACGGCAGCACAGGAAGAGCUUGCUCGGACGGGGGGCGAGGGGCGGACGGGGGAGGAAGACAGCGGAAGCUACUGGUUCGGGGGGGAUAACGUAGGGAAACUUACGCUAAUACCGCAUACGACCUACGGGUGAAAGCAGGGGAUCUUCGGACCUUGCGCGAUUGAAUGAGCCGAUGUCGGAUUAGCUAGUUGGCGGGGUAAAGGCCCACCAAGGCGACGAUCCGUAGCUGGUCUGAGAGGAUGAUCAGCCACACUGGAACUGAGACACGGUCCAGACUCCUACGGGAGGCAGCAGUGGGGAAUAUUGGACAAUGGGCGCAAGCCUGAUCCAGCCAUACCGCGUGGGUGAAGAAGGCCUUCGGGUUGUAAAGCCCUUUUGUUGGGAAAGAAAAGCAGCAGGUUAAUACCCCGCUGUUCUGACGGUACCCAAAGAAUAAGCACCGGCUAACUUCGUG